UGUUGUUAUUUGUUUAGCCUUAUUUAGUUUAUUCAGUUAUCAAAUCGAUUUAAUUACUUUUUUCCUUUUACGCAUUUUUCUUCAGCUUUUAGUUUUAUUAUUGUUAUUAUUAUUUUAAUUCUAUUUAUUUCAGCAGCAAAGUGGAUUCCCUGCAGGGAUAUUGUCAACAUCUUAUCAGCCAACCAAAAUAAAUAUUCACUUUUAUAUAUGAAAAUACGUACACACAUACAUGCAUACAUACAUACAUAUUUUUAAAUACUUUUACAUGCAUUUAAUGGAAAAUCGCAGCUACCUAUUAAGUGCUUUUACAAAGAAAUUACUAAAAAAUUAUCUCCAUUUAUAUAAUGACAACAACAACAACGACACAUUAAGUGUUUACCCAUGAUAGCCGGUAGUCAGUCAGGCAUGCUGUGAAUGAAGAACGCGUGCAACUAAAAAAUUAAUUAAAUAAAGGCAUAUAUAGAUAUUACAAACGUAGACUAUAUAUUUAGCCUAAAAAUAUAUCUCCUAAUCAUGCUAAUAAGUUUUGAAAUGCUGUGCUGACCUCUGCGGCAAGUCAUUGUGCCAAAAACAAAAUUGUUUCCGCUUUUAUUAAACACCUUAAUGGUGACUAAGCGAUUGGGAAAAACGUAAUAAAAAGAAGAAACUGAAAAUAAAUCACAGAUAAAUCCACCGAGUCGUAUCUUGGAAUCCGUACAUUUGACAAGCUCCUGUCCACUUGGCUGCGGGAAUUCUUCAGACACAAUUGUAUGCAUAAAUACCGGCUAUUAGCAUUAAACCAACGUAUUGAUACACAAAUUUAUGUAUGAAUGUAUAUACAUACAUAAGUCCUGUUUUUUUUUUUGCUCAUUUAUAUACACACCUAUACGCAUUUGUGUAAACGUAUUUGCUUCCACAAUAAUCAAAUACAAUUAUCUCAGCCGCUUUGGUGAGUGAAUGAGAUACCACAGA
Long non-coding RNA from Ceratitis capitata (Mediterranean fruit fly), 951 nucleotides. RefSeq lists it as uncharacterized. Lineage: Eukaryota; Metazoa; Arthropoda; Insecta; Diptera; Tephritidae. The transcript is spliced from 2 exons. The record is from RefSeq and is a predicted model, not a curated record.